Unclassified non-coding RNA from Callithrix jacchus (white-tufted-ear marmoset), 299 nucleotides. It matches the Rfam family "Metazoan signal recognition particle RNA". Rfam says of the family: The signal recognition particle (SRP) is a universally conserved ribonucleoprotein. It is involved in the co-translational targeting of proteins to membranes. NCBI's taxonomy places the organism in Eukaryota, Metazoa, Chordata, Mammalia, Primates, Cebidae. The record is from Ensembl.
GUUGGGCACAGUGGCACGUGCCUGUAGUCCCAGCUACUCUGAGGCUCAGGUGGGAGGACUGCUUGAGCCCAGGAGUUCUGGGCUGUAGUGCACUAUGCUGAUCAGGUGUCUGCACUAAGUUUGGCAUCAAUAUGGUGACCUCCCGGGAGCAGAGGACCACCAGGUUGCGUAAGGAGCAGUGAACCGGCUCAGGUCAGAAACGGAGCAGGUCAAAACUCCCGUGCUGAUCAGCAGUGGGAUUGCGCUUGUGAAUAGCCACUGCAUUCCAGCCUGGGCAACAUAGCAAGACCCCAUCUCUA